GAGGUUAGCAGCCCCUUAUUCAUUAGGUACCGUCAUUGAUUCGUCCCUAAUAAAAGUACUUUACACCCCGAAGGGCGUCUUCAUACACGCGGCAUUGCUCCUUCAGCCUUUCGGCCAU
RNAcentral lists this ribosomal RNA (118 nucleotides) under uncultured bacterium. RNAcentral's name for it is "partial 16S ribosomal RNA". The record is from RNAcentral.